CUGCUGUUGACCCAGCGUACUAUUAACCUGAAGCCAGCACAGAAAGGUUUCCGAUUUGUAGUACUGUGUAAACCCAGACGAUGGACAAAGAGAUUCUUUGAGUCUCUACACCAGCCUGGAAGUAAUGCCAGAAAUGUGUUCGUUCUUCCAGACUUUUCUCCAUUGACGACUGCCUCUGUUUCCUCCUUUAGUAGUAUGUGGAUGAUCGGCUGACUGUGACUCUGGAAAAGUCAAGCACGUGCUUCUGGAUCAUUGAUGCUUCAGGAAGGAUGCAGGAUCCCGGUAGAUUCCCUGUGGUCCUUGUCUCAUAAAAGAGAUUUUUAUCUAGGUUUCUUCAUCCAUGUUUCCCGUAUUCAUGUUUCAAAGCUGGAAUUCGGGGGUGGGGGUGUGUGUGAGUGUGUGUCAGUCAAAAAACUUAACUUGAUGAAAUACACAUUUGCCAUAAAUCUAUAUUAUACAUUCCACAGCUUCAAAAUGACAGUGUGCGUCAAUGAGGUAAUUGUUAAGGUACCCGUUGCACUGUAAAUGUGUGUUACUGUUAGCCAUGAUGUGUGUCUUCCUCACUGUUCCCUGUAAGAAAUAGUGCUGCUAUACCUGGCAUGUGUUAUACGACGUUAAAGACAAUAUGUGCAACAGUAAUGAGUGAAGAGCAAUGUUCUCCGUUUGCAGUCGAGAAAGCCUCUAAUGGCACAGCCUACUAAUCGGAUUUAUUAUGCUCGGUGAUAGUUGUGUCUUGCCUUCAGCUGUGCCAGCCAGGUUAGUUUGAAAAACUAAAUAAAUGCAAAUUCUUGU
This 792-nucleotide long non-coding RNA is filed under the name Rattus norvegicus (Norway rat). RNAcentral's name for it is "long non-coding RNA NONRATT004520". Lineage: Eukaryota; Metazoa; Chordata; Mammalia; Rodentia; Muridae. The record is from RNAcentral.